GAUGAAGAACGCAGCGAAAUGCGAUACGUAAUGUGAAUUGCAAAUUCAGUGAAUCAUCGAGUCUUUGAACGCACAUUGCGCCCCCUGGUAUUUCGGGGGGCAUGCCUGUCCGAGCGUCAUUGCUGCCCUCAAGCACGGCUUGUGUGUUGGGCCCCGUCCUCCGAUUCCGGGGGACGGGCCCGAAAGGCAGCGGCGGCACCGCGUCCGGUCCUCGAGCGUAUGGGGCUUUGUUACCCGCUCUGUAGGCCCGGCCGGCGCUUGCCGAUCAACCCAAAUUUUUAUCCAGGUUGACCUCGGAUCAGGUAGGGAUACCCGCUGAACUUAAGCAUAUCAAUAAGCGGAGGA
Molecule: unclassified non-coding RNA, 345 nt
Filed under: soil metagenome
Description: partial contains 5.8S ribosomal RNA, internal transcribed spacer 2, and large subunit ribosomal RNA
Rfam family: 5.8S ribosomal RNA (bases 1-119)
Source: RNAcentral